Molecule: ribosomal RNA, 406 nt
Filed under: uncultured bacterium
Lineage: Bacteria
Description: partial 16S ribosomal RNA
Rfam family: Bacterial small subunit ribosomal RNA
Source: RNAcentral
AUUGAACGCUGGCGGCAGGCCUAACACAUGCAAGUCGAACGAGUGGCGGACGGGUGAGUAUUGUCUGGGAAACUGCCUGAUGGAGGGGGCUAACGACUGGAAACGGUAGCUAAUACCGCAUACCAUCAGAUGUGCCCAGAUGGGAUUAGCUUGGUGGUGGGGUAACGGCUCACCAAGGCGACGAUCCCUAGCUGGUCUGAGAGGAUGACCGGCCGCACUGGAACUUAGACACGGUCCAGACGCCUACGGGAGGCAGCAGUGGGGAAUAUUGGACAAUGGGCGCAAGCCUUAUGCAGCCAUGCCGCGUGUAUGAAGAAGGCCUUCGGGUUUUAAAGUACUUUCAGCGGAGAGGCGUUACCCGCAGAAGAAGCACCGGCUAACUCCGUGCCAGCGGCCGCGGUAAUAC